Molecule: RNA transcript, 4137 nt
Organism: Biomphalaria glabrata
Lineage: Eukaryota; Metazoa; Mollusca; Gastropoda; Planorbidae
Gene name: UNC93-like protein MFSD11
Exons: 14
Source: RefSeq, a predicted model, not a curated record
UUGAAGAUCAUGUGACACUAAACAAGAUGGCGAACUGUAGCUGCAAUCGUUCCUUUUUCAAUAUAAUUUGUUUGGGAAUUUCUUUUAUGUUAAUUUUUACAGCUUUUCAAACAUGUUCAAUGGUAGAAAAAACUGUUCUGGAUAGUGAAGCCAAAGAAAGUAAUUUUACAGGAAGUGGCUACACCAGUUUGGGCAUUCUGUAUGUCUCGUUCUCUGUUUCGAAUUGGGCCGCACCAUCGUUUGUCACUUUUGCUGGCCCCAGAGUAUCAAUGUUCAUUGGAUCUCUAUUCUAUUUUUUAUUUGUGUUGUCAUUUCUAAAACCUAUGGUAUGGGCGCUGUAUCUUGGCUCUGUUUUGGUUGGAAUAGGAGCUGCAAUGUUAUGGACUGGUCAAGGGAAUUUCUUAACAAUCAAUUCCAAUUCAGAAACAGUUGCCAGGAACAGUGGAAUAUUCUGGGCUCUUCUUCAAUGCAGUCUUCUAUUUGGCAAUCUGUACAGCUACUUUGUGUUUCAAGGAAAAACUGAGAUCACAGAUUCUGAGCGUUUCAAGCUAUUUGCUGCUCUCAGUGCUGCUGGUCUAGCAGGCAGUCUUUGCUUAUUGCUGUUGAGACGACCUCGAAUGGCAGAUUCCAGUGAUAGCAUUGGUAGUCUUAAUGCCAGUGCCAUUCAAAGCCCUCUGACACCAUUAGAGUCACUCAAAAAAUCUUUUCAACUGUUUCGAAGCAAAGAAAUGAUGCUGUUAUCAUUAGCAUUUGCUUAUUCAGGUAUUGCAAUGACAUUCUUCAGUGGUGUUUAUGGAGCCAGCAUUUCUCAUAAUUUACACUUUGGAGAUAGUGCUAUUGGAUUGUUGGGUAUCUCAGGGAUAUUCAUUGGAGUCGGAGAGAUUUUUGGUGGUGUUUUGUUUGGUUUGCUGGGCAAGAAAACCAACGCUCAUGGGCGAGAUCCAAUUGUCAUGUUAGGCUACACAAUGCACAUGGUGGCCUUUUACCUGAUCUUUAUAAACAUUCCAGAAAAUGCUCCACUAGAAGAUACAUCAAAAUCUACUUACAUUAAUUCAAACAAAUAUGUUGCCAUUUUGUGUAGUUUUCUCUUGGGAUUUGGGGACAGCAGCUUCAACACACAGCUCUAUUCUAUACUUGGUUUUAUGUUUCCUGACGACAGCUCCCCAGCAUUCGCUCUGUUCAAGUUUGUACAGUCUGUUGCUGCAGCAGCUGCCUUCUACUACAGUAAUGUCUUGAUGCUACAGUGGCAGCUUUUGAUCCUUGUUGUCUUAGGAACAUUUGGUGUCUUGGGCUUCAACCUAGUGGAGUGGAGCAGCACCAGAGCAUCACAACAAGGCUAUCAAACUAUAUGACAGACUGAGUCUAUGGUGAGCAACACGAAGUCUCUUCAAUAUGUUGUAGAUGCAUAAAACAAAAAACAUGAAUGUGUGCUUAUUGAUGCUGACGCUGCUGAUAGUGAUGAUUAAUGGUCAAGUUAAUUCCACAAAUUUUAAAGACCUGACCCAGUUAAGAAUGUUUUUUUUUGUUUUUAAAUUAUUUUUGUCAUCAGUAGGCUUUUUGGUGCACUGCAUUUUGUUUCUAUUUGUACAUAGUGUUUAUUGGAAAUAAUUCUUUGUAAAUAUCAAAUUGUUUAGAAUAAGAUUAUAUUUCUAAUCAAGGGAGUUACAUUUAAGCUUUCAGUCAUCUGAUGUAAGAAUUUAUUUUUCAAACCACAAUUUUAACUGUCAUCAUACAUUUGGGUUGGAAAAGAUUAAGGGAGCUGACAAAAACAAUUUUUGUAUUUGCUAAUUUCAAUUACCAAUUUACUUAAUGUGCUAAUCAUUUAAAUGCAAUUUAGUCAACUAAAAAUAGCUGAAACAUUUGCACUUUAAUAAUGUUCAUUAAAAUGGGAAAUUUUAUGCGAAUACUGUAGUCUUAAACUUUGUGCUUAUGAAUACAAAUCUGUAUGACUUCAGCCUUAUUUAUGGUUGUGCCUCUGAAUGCUUACACAUAUAUAGUGAGUAUAUCUAAUGAUGUCUAAUUGAGAUGAAAAGAAAUAUAUUUAUAUAAAUAAUGUACAGUAAACGUUGAUCUAUAAAUUCAUGGGACAAUAGACGAUGCCUAGUUCAUGUGCUUUUGUAGAUAAUUUGAUAACAACGAGGUUAUGUGACCAACAUAGGAAGUCACCUUUACUUUUCACAACAAAGGUUUUGUUACCAAGACUUGUGAACUUGGCCAUGUAUGAAAAUUCCCAGCCUUGACUAGGGCCUUAAUUGAGACCCCUCAUUUUGGGAUCUAAUACUUGACCACUCAGUCACCACAUCCCCAAAAAAUGAUUAAUCGAUGGCUAUGUAUAAUUUUGUCAUGAGACAAAAUGUUUAACUGUUAUGAGCAUACAGAGAACUUAUUACAUUUGUAUAGUAAUUUAUUCAUCUGUAGAUAUGUAUAUAAUCUGUACAAUUUGGAUGCUAUGGGUUUAAUUUGCAGAAUUGUUUAACUUAUAAAUGAUAUUAUGAUUUUCUAUUUGGAAAUGAACAAUUCUAUUUGUUUCAAUCGUCUUUCUUUUCUUUCCAAAUAAUGUACAUACUUUUAUCUGAUAUAAGCCUUUAGAACUGAUUUAGAGUGUUAAGGCUAAUCUGACUUUAAUGGCCAGAUUUUUAAAAAUUCUUUAUAACCGAGUAUAACCUAUAUUUGAAGAGGACAAAAAAAAGUUUUUGUUUUUUUUUAAUGGAUUUUAGAUACCUUAAUAAUCUGUGGACAUUUUUUUCGAAACCAUUUUGUACAAUUUAAAAAAUUCAGACAAUAAAAUGAUUUUUUUUAAAGUGUUAAUAGAUGUAAAAAUAAGAAUCAAAUUUUAAAUAACUUUAAAACUAUUAUUUUUUUUUUUUUUAAAUAUUACUUUUAGCUAGAAUAUAGUGUUCCAAUAGUUAUUGUUCUUUUGAGAUUUUCACUUUUACCAGCCGGAACAUACUAUUUCAUGAUUUUAACCUAUUAACAAAGACAUUUAUUUUUAGUGCAAGUUACAGUCAACUGUUAGCUCAUUGAUUAAUUCAAUAACAAAAAUAUACCUGCCAACAAGAACAAAGUGGGUUUGUUCAAGACCAUGUUGUGUUGUUGCAGAACUCAAGUCAUGACUUCAUCUCAACUCUGCCUGUGGCAUCUCGGUUCUGGGCGAGUCUCUCCAACUGUCCCAACAUCUUGCCCAUCUGCUUGGCAUCUGCUUCCAAACCACGGUGCCAUGUAUUCCUGGGUCGUCUCCUCUUUCCUUGGGGGUUCCAGGUUAGGGCUUGCCUUAUGUUGGAUGCAGGCUUGCGAAGGGUGUGACCUAUCCAUCUCCAGCAUCUCUGAAGGAUAUCUAUUUCAAUGGGCUGCUGCUUUGUUCUUUGCCACAGUUUCUCAUUCGAGAUCUUGUCUGGCCAGCGGAUCAUAACAAUCUUCCUCAGGCAGGUCAUGAUGAAUACCUGGAGUUUUUUUCAUGGUGGUUCUCCAAGUCUCUGCUCCAUAAAGUAGUAUUGGGCUAACAAUGGUGUUAAAGAGCCUGAUCUUGGUGGUGGUACUUAUUUCCCUAGAUCCCCAGGUGUUCUUCAGCUGAUGGAAGGCUGCUCAAGUCAUGACUUGCCCCAUUCCAAAGAAUUAUUUCCACCGUCUUUUGCCAUAUUAACAAAUGCUAUGUUUGCCAUACCGCCAACCUGACCUCGCCGUUGUAUAUAGAUGAAGGGUACUUAUAAACAAGUUCACUCCUUAUAUAUCUUACUCGUAUUUAUGUAUAUAUAUAUAUUUUUGUAAUCUAUACACAAGAGCAAAUAAUAAAAUGUUGUGUUUGUUAAAUAUCUUUAUUGAUAAACACUUCACAUAUUUACGUAAUGUACAGUUGUAUUUUUUUAAUCACAUAGUUUUUGGUUUUUAGUUGUUUUAAGUCACUGUAUUUUGACAAUUUCUUAUAAAAACUUGGUUUUAAAGACAUUGUCAUAAAAACUUAUUUUAAAUAAAUAAAGUGAAUGGCUGAUAUUUAGGUUAUCUCUUGACAGUAAAAAAUUCACUUUUGUUUCUUGUUUUCAAAUCAUGUUUUUUAACUUGCAUACAUGACACUGAGGAUAUUAGCCAAUGGUAAACUUGUCCAUUGUCUCCCAGUACUUAUUAAAUGAUAAAAACCUUUGA